This 269-nucleotide ribosomal RNA is filed under the name uncultured prokaryote. RNAcentral describes it as "partial 16S ribosomal RNA". It matches the Rfam family "Bacterial small subunit ribosomal RNA", at positions 524 to 788 of the family's 1533-position model. The record is from RNAcentral.
AACGUAGGGGGCGAGCGUUGUCCGGAAUUACUGGGCGUAAAGGGAGCGCAGGCGGUGACUUAAGUCUGAUGUGAAACGCCCACGGCUCAACCGUGGAAGGUCAUUGGAAACUGGGUCACUUGAAUAUAGAAGAGGAGAGUGGAAUUCCAUGUGUAGCGGUGAAAUGCGUAGAUAUAUGGAGGAACACCAGUGGCGAAGGCGACUCUCUGGUCUGUAACUGACGCUGAGGCUACGAAAGCGUGGGGAGCAAACAGGAUUAGACUACCCCU